Molecule: long non-coding RNA, 274 nt
Filed under: Gallus gallus (chicken)
Lineage: Eukaryota; Metazoa; Chordata; Aves; Galliformes; Phasianidae
Description: long non-coding RNA NONGGAT003901
Source: RNAcentral
UGAAAAUUAAGGAUCUCUUCCAAGUACUUCCUCUGCAUUAUAGACUUACUUUCAGCUUCUGCUUAGUCCUUUUCCCUCAUGUGACUGAAACUCCACAAAUCUCCACAGUUCUUGUGGAUCACUAUGUAUAUGUUGAGAGCCAGUAACAUCAGCGUUGGCAAUUAGCCUGAGAUCAGUGCCUGGAACAAAAUAAAUCCACCAAAGUUUCCCAUAUGCUGCCCAGAUGUCCUACAAAUAGAUUAUGAGAUACUGCUUGUUGCUCCUUAUAUGUCCC